RNAcentral lists this ribosomal RNA (906 nucleotides) under uncultured bacterium. Its description in RNAcentral is "bacterial SSU rRNA". It matches the Rfam family "Bacterial small subunit ribosomal RNA", at positions 33 to 930 of the family's 1533-position model. The record is from RNAcentral.
ACGCUGGCGGCAGGCUUAACACAUGCAAGUCGAACGGUAACAGGAAUUAUCUUGCUAAUUUGCUGACGAGUGGCGGACGGGUGAGUAAUGCUUGGGAAUCUGGCUUAUGGAGGGGGAUAACUACGGGAAACUGUAGCUAAUACCGCGUAAAAUCUUCGGAUUAAAGGGUGGGACUUUCGAGCCACCUGCCAUAAGAUGAGCCCAAGUGGGAUUAGGUAGUUGGUUAGGUAAAGGCUGACCAAGCCGACGAUCUCUAGCUGGUCUGAGAGGAUGACCAGCCACACUGGAACUGAGACACGGUCCAGACUCCUACGGGAGGCAGCAGUGGGGAAUAUUGCACAAUGGGGGGAACCCUGAUGCAGCCAUGCCGCGUGAAUGAAGAAGGCCUUCGGGUUGUAAAGUUCUUUCGGUGACGAGGAAGGUUGAUAGGUUAAUAGCCUAUCAAAUUGACGUUAAUCACACAAGAAGCACCGGCUAACUCCGUGCCAGCAGCCGCGGUAAUACGGGGGGUGCGAGCGUUAAUCGGAAUAACUGGGCGUAAAGGGCACGCAGACGGUGACUUAAGUGAGAUGUGAAAGCCCCGAGCUUAACUUGGGAAUUGCAUUUCAUACUGGGUCGCUAGAGUACUUUAGGGAGGGGUAGAAUUCCACGUGUAGCGGUGAAAUGCGUAGAGAUGUGGAGGAAUACCGAAGGCGAAGGCAGCCCCUUGGGAAUGUACUGACGCUCAUGUGCGAAAGCGUGGGGAGCAAACAGGAUUAAAUACCCUGGUAGUCCACGCUGUAAACGAUGUCGAUUUGGGGAUUGGGCUUUGAGCUUGGUGCCCGUAGCUAACGUGAUAAAUCGACCGCCUGGGGAGUACGGCCGCAAGGUUAAAACUCAAAUGAAUUGACGGGGGCCCGCACAAGC